Molecule: long non-coding RNA, 1170 nt
Filed under: Carica papaya (papaya)
Lineage: Eukaryota; Viridiplantae; Streptophyta; Magnoliopsida; Brassicales; Caricaceae
Description: long non-coding RNA (CPAP_LNC008721)
Source: RNAcentral
CAGGAAAUCCAAACCCGAGGGGUCUUUAAUCAUCUCAAACUCUUAGUUAACUAGCCACUUCUUCUUCCAUCUUCAUCCAAUGAAUUUAGGAAUUUUCUCUACAACUCUUUAGAUUUCCAUGGAAUAUUGACUGUUUAUUUACUUGUUCAUGCAUAUGUUUUUUCUAUAUAAAUCACCUAUUUUUAUCUAUUUAAUCAAUCAAUGAAUGAAAUAUUUUGAAUACAUUAUUAUUAUCUCCCUUAAAUUUUUAUCUCUCUCAAUAUCUAUCUUUCUCAAGUCCUUAUAUUUCUCCUCUCACUCUCACUCUCUUUAUCUCAAACCCGAAUACAUAGUUUCUUAAAACAGAACCAUGUACCCGGGUCGUGACACACCUCCAAGGUGGCAUGCAAUAUGGUGUACGUUUUUGCAACAUGGAGAGUUGUAGGUUUAUCCUCCAGCAUUGGAUGUUUACUUUUCCACUCAUUUGAGAGGUAGGAUGAGAAGGAAAGAGUACAAGGUUUAUGAUAAUGGCAGUGUCUUUCUUGGGGGGUUGGAUUCUAUGGUUGGAGUAUUCUGCAGGGUCUUUAGUCAAUAUUACCAGCAUUCCUUGUCAUAUUUAGAACAAAGUGGUGCUUUUGAUUACAGACAUAAAUCGUAAGUUACUAAUAUGCCUAAUCAUCUGAUUAACUGUGAAAGAGACAAUUAGAGGGCUUUCGAACAGGUUUCUAGACCCAUCAGAUAUAAUUCUUAAUAUUUGGCUUCAAAUCCUUAGUCUGUGGAUGAAUAGUCACAAUCUCAUUGAGCAAGAAUAACUGAUGGACUUUGUGGAUAUUUUAUCUUGUAUCUUGUAACUAAUAUGUACCAUUCUUCUCAUGCGAGAAUAGAAUGUUAUGUUUUAUUAAUUACAUGGGAGUAUUUUACUAAUAUUCUUCUAUACAGUAAGUUACACAUAUAUACUUUCAAACAGUUCUUUUUAACAGAAAAGAAUAAGCUUAAACACAUAAUACAUCCUUGUACUAUUCCAUUUUUCUAUUUAAGCUCUUAAUGUAUAUUUUGGUCUAACCAGGUCCCUGUAGUUUUAGUAAUUUCUCAAAUGAGCCCCAAACUAAUCUUCUUCCUCGCCAACUAAAACUCCCCACCAAGCCCUAAGCUUGGACAAUCCCAACCCCAAAAACAUCCCAGUUCUUGANN